CCGGUAAACGGCGGCCGUAACUAUAACGGUCCUAAGGUAGCGAAAUUCCUUGUCGGGUAAGUUCCGACCUGCACGAAUGGCGUAAUGAUGGCCAGGCUGUCUCCACCCGAGACUCAGUGAAAUUGAACUCGCUGUGAAGAUGCAGUGUACCCGCGGCAAGACGGAAAGACCCCGUGAACCUUUACUAUAGCUUGACACUGAACAUUGAGCCUUGAUGUGUAGGAUAGGUGGGAGGCUUUGAAGUGUGGACGCCAGUCUGCAUGGAGCCGGCCUUGAAAUACCACCCUUUAAUGUUUGAUGUUCUAACGUUGGCCCCUGAUCGGGGUUGCGGACAGUGUCUGGUGGGUAGUUUGACUGGGGCGGUCUCCUCCUAAAGAGUAACGGAGGAGCACGAAGGUUGGCUAAUCCUGGUCGGACAUCAGGAGGUUAGUGCAAUGGCAUAAGCCAGCUUGACUGCGAGCGUGACGGCGCGAGCAGGUGCGAAAGCAGGUCAUAGUGAUCCGGUGGUUCUGAAUGGAAGGGCCAUCGCUCAACGGAUAAAAGGUACUCCGGGGAUAACAGGCUGAUACCGCCCAAGAGUUCAUAUCGACGGCGGUGUUUGGCACCUCGAUGUCGGCUCAUCACAUCCUGGGGCUGAAGUAGGUCCCAAGGGUAUGGCUGUUCGCCAUUUAAAGUGGUACGCGAGCUGGGUUUAGAACGUCGUGAGACAGUUCGGUCCCUAUCUGCCGUGGGCGCUGGAGAACUGAGGGGGGCUGCUCCUAGUACGAGAGGACCGGAGUGGACGCAUCACUGGUGUUCGGGUUGUCAUGCCAAUGGCACUGCCCGGUAGCUAAAUGCGGAAGAGAUAAGUGCUGAAAGCAUCUAAGCACGAAACUUGCCCCGAGAUGAGUUCUCCCUGACUCCUUGAGAGUCCUGAAGGAACGUUGAAGACGACGACGUUGAUAGGCCGGGUGUGUAAGCGCAGCGAUGCGUUGAGCUAACCGGUACUAAUGAACCGUGAGG
RNAcentral lists this ribosomal RNA (1002 nucleotides) under Escherichia coli. RNAcentral describes it as "partial 23S ribosomal RNA". It matches the Rfam family "Bacterial large subunit ribosomal RNA", at positions 1920 to 2916 of the family's 2925-position model. Lineage: Bacteria; Pseudomonadati; Pseudomonadota; Gammaproteobacteria; Enterobacterales; Enterobacteriaceae. The record is from RNAcentral.